CCACCCUUUAAUGUUUGAUGUUCUAACGUUGACCCGUGAUCCGGGUUGCGGACAGUGUCUGGUGGGUAGUUUGACUGGGGCGGUCUCCUCCUAAAGAGUAACGGAGGAGCACGAAGGUUGGCUAAUCCUGGUCGGACAUCAGGAGGUUAGUGCAAUGGCAUAAGCCAGCUUGACUGCGAGCGUGACGGCGCGAGCAGGUGCGAAAGCAGGUCAUAGUGAUCCGGUGGUUCUGAAUGGAAGGGCCAUCGCUCAACGGAUAAAAGGUACUCCGGGGAUAACAGGCUGAUACCGCCCAAGAGUUCAUAUCGACGGCGGUGUUUGGCACCUCGAUGUCGGCUCAUCACAUCCUGGGGCUGAAGUAGGUCCCAAGGGUAUGGCUGUUCGCCAUUUAAAGUGGUACGCGAGCUGGGUUUAGAACGUCGUGAGACAGUUCGGUCCCUAUCUGCCGUGGGCGCUGGAGAACUGAGGGGGGCUGCUCCUAGUACGAGAGGACCGGAGUGGACGCAUCACUGGUGUUCGGGUUGUCAUGCCAAUGGCACUGCCCGGUAGCUAAAUGCGGAAGAGAUAAGUGCUGAAAGCAUCUAAGCACGAAACUUGCCCCGAGAUGAGUUCUCCCUGACUCCUUGAGAGUCCUGAAGGAACGUUGAAGACGACGACGUUGAUAGGCCGGGUGUGUAAGCGCAGCGAUGCGUUGAGCUAACCGGUACUAAUGAACCGUGAGG
RNAcentral lists this ribosomal RNA (722 nucleotides) under Escherichia coli. RNAcentral describes it as "partial 23S ribosomal RNA". It matches the Rfam family "Bacterial large subunit ribosomal RNA", at positions 2200 to 2916 of the family's 2925-position model. Lineage: Bacteria; Pseudomonadati; Pseudomonadota; Gammaproteobacteria; Enterobacterales; Enterobacteriaceae. The record is from RNAcentral.